RNAcentral lists this long non-coding RNA (1064 nucleotides) under Capra hircus (goat). Its description in RNAcentral is "lncRNA (ENSCHIG00010002094.1)". The record is from RNAcentral. Lineage: Eukaryota; Metazoa; Chordata; Mammalia; Artiodactyla; Bovidae.
CUUCGGUGCUCAGCUUUCUUUAUAGUCCAACUCUCAUAUUCAUACACGACUAUUGGAAAAACCAUAGCACUGACUAAACAGACCUUUGUUAGCAAAGUAAUGAUUAAGUUUCAAUUUUCUGUGCUAACUAAGCCAUUCUAUAGUAACACUCCCAGUAAGAAGUCCAGAACAAGUCUCUUUAGCCCAGUUUAUUAUUUUGCAUGGGCUAUACCUUAGGCCAACUUAUAUAUUCAGAUCCCAGUUGGCAGAUACCCACCGCAGUCAGUGAAUUGUGGCACAGUUGAAAUGACAACAGUUUGGACUAGAGGGUAAAACCUGAUAACUUGGUUUCUCAGCAGAGGCAGUAGGUAAAGGGUGGGGCAAUUCUCUUCAGAUGGGGUUGUGUUCACUGCAGGCAGCAUGAUGAAAAUGUUUAACUGGAAUAUUAUAAACCAACUAUGGAGAGAAAGCAAUACUUCCUACCACCUUUUCUUCAGAUUAUCUGAUCUGGAUGUUUCUGCAUCUAUGUGAGUUUUCUUCCUUCUUGAUAACUUUCCUUAUUUCUAUUGUCAUUAAGGGACAGAGCUGUUUAUCUCAGGUUCUUAGGUUCCUGGAAAAGCAGAAUCUUUUUUCCGUCUAAGGUCUAUUCCACUAUCUCUUUAGGUUGAGAUGAACUCUUCCAACAAGUAUGUAGACUCACUUAUAGACUUGGAUCAUAGCUCUCAGAAAGUCUUAGAACAUACUCUCCUGCUUUCUGAGUACAGAGACCACUUAACUGUCUCCAUUAGAACAUUCUUACAGCUUUGACUUCACCACUUCUUGCUUGCUGCUGCUGCUGUUUAGUCACAUAGUCAUGUCAGACCCUGUGUGACCCCAUGGAUUGUAGCCCGCCAGGCUCCCUGCCUGUUUGAUUUCCCAGGCAAGAACACUGGAGUGGGUUGCCACGUCCUUCUCCAGGGAUUUUUCCAGCCCAGGGAUCAAAUUCGUGUCUCCUGCAUCUCCUGCUUGGCAAGCAGAAUCUUUACCACUUACUACUUCAGUUCAAUUCAGUUCAGUUCAGUUCAGUCGCUCAGUCGUGUCUGACU